This 21-nucleotide non-coding RNA is filed under the name Arabidopsis thaliana (thale cress). Lineage: Eukaryota; Viridiplantae; Streptophyta; Magnoliopsida; Brassicales; Brassicaceae. The record is from RNAcentral.
UCGAGCCACUGAUCUUAUACA